UCCUACGGGAGGCAGCAGUGGGGAAUAUUGGACAAUGGGGGCAACCCUGAUCCAGCCAUGCCGCGUGUGUGAAGAAGGCCUUCGGGUUGUAAAGCACUUUCAGCGAGGAAGAACGCCAGGGGAUUAAUACCCCCCUGGAAAGACAUCACUCGCAGAAGAAGCACCGGCUAACUCCGUGCCAGCAGCCGCGGUAAUACGGAGGGUGCAAGCGUUAAUCGGAAUUACUGGGCGUAAAGCGCGCGUAGGUGGCUUGAUAAGCCGGUUGUGAAAGCCCCGGGCUCAACCUGGGAACGGCAUCCGGAACUGUCAAGCUAGAGUGCAGGAGAGGAAGGUAGAAUUCCCGGUGUAGCGGUGAAAUGCGUAGAGAUCGGGAGGAAUACCAGUGGCGAAGGCGGCCUUCUGGACUGACACUGACACUGAGGUGCGAAAGCGUGGGUAGCAAACAGGAUUAGAUACCCUGGUAGUCCACGCCGUAAACGAUGUCGACCAGCCGUUGGGUGCCUAGCGCACUUUGUGGCGAAGUUAACGCGAUAAGUCGACCGCCUGGGGAGUACGGCCGCAAGGUUAAAACUCAAAUGAAUUGACGGGGGCCCGCACAAGCGGUGGAGCAUGUGGUUUAAUUCGAUGCAACGCAAGAACCUUACCUACCCUUGACAUCUACAAAACCUGGAAAAAAUUCCGGGUGCCUUCGGGAACUGUAAAACAGGGCUGCAUG
RNAcentral lists this ribosomal RNA (715 nucleotides) under Vreelandella zhanjiangensis. Its description in RNAcentral is "bacterial SSU rRNA". It matches the Rfam family "Bacterial small subunit ribosomal RNA", at positions 337 to 1047 of the family's 1533-position model. The record is from RNAcentral. Lineage: Bacteria; Pseudomonadati; Pseudomonadota; Gammaproteobacteria; Oceanospirillales; Halomonadaceae.